GACGAACGCUGGCGGCGUGCUUAACACAUGCAAGUCGAACGGGAUUUAGUAAACAGAAACCUCGGUGGAAGAUUACUAAUGAGAGUGGCGAACGGGUGAGUAACGCGUGAGCAACCUGCCUAUGACAGUGGGAUAGCCUCGGGAAACCGGGAUUAAUACCGCAUAAAAUCGUAGAAACACAUGUUUUAACGGUCAAAGAUUUAUCGGUCAUAGAUGGGCUCGCGUCUGAUUAGCUAGUUGGUGAGAUAACAGCCCACCAAGGCGACGAUCAGUAGCCGGUCUGAGAGGAUGAACGGCCACAUUGGAACUGAGACACGGUCCAAACUCCUACGGGAGGCAGCAGUGGGGAAUAUUGCACAAUGGGGGAAACCCUGAUGCAGCGACGCCGCGUGAACGAAGAAGGUAUUCGUAUCGUAAAGUUCUGUCCUAUGGGAAGAUAAUGACAGUACCAGAGAAGAAAGCUCCGGCUAAAUACGUG
This 478-nucleotide ribosomal RNA is filed under the name uncultured bacterium. RNAcentral describes it as "partial 16S ribosomal RNA". It matches the Rfam family "Bacterial small subunit ribosomal RNA", at positions 28 to 507 of the family's 1533-position model. The record is from RNAcentral.